GAUGAACGCUAGCUACAGGCUUAACACAUGCAAGUCGAGGGGAAACGGCAUCGAAAGCUUGCUUUUGAUGGGCGUCGACCGGCGCACGGGUGAGUAACGCAUAUCCAACCUGCCCAUCACUUUGGAAUAACCUUGCGAAAGUAAGACUAAUGCCCAAUGACAUCCCACGAAGGCAUCCGAAUGGGAUUAAAGAUUUAUCGGUGAUGGAUGGGGAUGCGUCUGAUUAGCUUGUUGGCGGGGUGACGGCCCACCAAGGCAACGAUCAGUAGGGGUUCUGAGAGGAAGGUCCCCCACAUUGGAACUGAGACACGGUCCAAACUCCGACGGGGGCAGCAGUGAGGAAUAUUGGUCAAUGGGCGAGAGCCUGAACCAGCCAAGUAGCGUGCAGGAUGACGGCCCUAUGGGUUGUAAACUGCUUUUAUAAGGGAAUAAAGUGGGUCACGUGUGACUUUUUGCAUGUACCUUAUGAAUAAGGACCGGCUAAUUCCGU
RNAcentral lists this ribosomal RNA (490 nucleotides) under uncultured bacterium. RNAcentral describes it as "partial 16S ribosomal RNA". It matches the Rfam family "Bacterial small subunit ribosomal RNA", at positions 28 to 506 of the family's 1533-position model. The record is from RNAcentral.